AUUGAACGCUGGCGGCAUGCUUUACACAUGCAAGUCGAACGGGGUGAAGGGGCAACUCUUCAUUCAGUGGCGAACGGGUGAGUAAUACAUCGGAACGUACCCCGUAGUGGGGGAUAACUCGGCGAAAGCCGUGCUAAUACCGCAUAUGCUCUACGGAGGAAAGCAGGGGACCGCAAGGCCUUGUGCUAUGGGAGCGGCCGAUGUCCGAUUAGCUAGUUGGUGAGGUAAUGGCNCACCAAGGCGACGAUCGGUAGCUGGUCUGAGAGGAUGAUCAGCCACACUGGGACUGAGACACGGCCCAGACUCCUACGGGAGGCAGCAGUGGGGAAUUUUGGACAAUGGGGGCAACCCUGAUCCAGCCAUGCCGCGUGCGGGAAGAAGGCCU
RNAcentral lists this ribosomal RNA (385 nucleotides) under uncultured bacterium. RNAcentral's name for it is "bacterial SSU rRNA". It matches the Rfam family "Bacterial small subunit ribosomal RNA", at positions 30 to 417 of the family's 1533-position model. The record is from RNAcentral.